This 1009-nucleotide ribosomal RNA is filed under the name uncultured Flavobacteriaceae bacterium. Its description in RNAcentral is "bacterial SSU rRNA". It matches the Rfam family "Bacterial small subunit ribosomal RNA", at positions 73 to 1071 of the family's 1533-position model. The record is from RNAcentral. Lineage: Bacteria; Pseudomonadati; Bacteroidota; Flavobacteriia; Flavobacteriales; Flavobacteriaceae.
AUUAGCCUAGCUAAUUUGCUGACGAGUGGCGCACGGGUGCGUAACGCGUAUACAAUCUGCCUUUAAGCGGGGAAUAGCCCAUGGAAACGUGGAUUAAUACCCCAUAGUCUAUAAACUUCACCUGGAGAUUAUAGUAAACAUUUAUGGCUUAAAGAUGAGUAUGCGUCCUAUUAGUUAGUUGGUAAGGUAACGGCUUACCAAGACCGCGAUAGGUAGGGGUCCUGAGAGGGAGAUCCCCCACACUGGUACUGAGACACGGACCAGACUCCUACGGGAGGCAGCAGUGAGGAAUAUUGGACAAUGGAGGCAACUCUGAUCCAGCCAUGCCGCGUGCAGGAAGACGGCCCUAUGGGUUGUAAACUGCUUUUAUACGGGAAGAACCACAUCUACGUGUAGAUGCUUGACGGUACCGUAUGAAUAAGGACCGGCUAACUCCGUGCCAGCAGCCGCGGUAAUACGGAGGGUCCAAGCGUUAUCCGGAAUCAUUGGGGUUUAAAGGGUCCGUAGGCGGGAUAAUAAGUCAGUGGUGAAAGUCUGCAGCUCAACUGUAGAAUUGAUUGCCCAUUGAAACUGUGGUUCUUGAAUUAUUAUGAAGGGGUUGGAAUGAGUAGGUGUAGCGGUGAAAAUGCAUAGAUAUUACUCAGAACACUAUUGCGAAGGCAGAUCACUAAUAAUAUAUUGACGCUGAGGGACGAAAGCGUAGGUAGCGAACAGGAUUAGAUACCCUGGUAGUCUACGCCGUAAACGAUGGUUACUAGCUGUUCGGGCUCGAUUGAGAGCUGAGUGGUUAAGCGAAAGUGAUAAGUAACCCACCUGGGGAGUACGUUCGCAAGAAUGAAACUCAAAGGAAUUGACGGGGGCCCGCACAAGCGGUGGAGCAUGUGGUUUAAUUCGAUGAUACGCGAGGAACCUUACCAGGGCUUAAAUGCAGUUGGACAGGUCUGGAAACAGACCCUUCUUCGGACUAAUUGCAAGGUGCUGCAUGGUUGUCGUCAGCUCGUGCCGUGAG